AUUGAACGCUGGCGGCAGGCCUAACACAUGCAAGUCGAGCGGAUGAAGGGAGCUUGCUCCUGGCUUCAGCGGCGGACGGGUGAGUAAUGCCUAGGAAUCUUCCUGGUAGUGGGGGAUAACGUCCGGAAACGGGCGCUAAUACCGCAUACGUCCUGAGGGAGAAAGUGGGGGAUCUUCGGACCUCACGCUAUCAGAUGAGCCUAGGUCGGAUUAGCUAGUUGGUGGGGUAAAGGCCUACCAAGGCGACGAUCCGUAACUGGUCUGAGAGGAUGAUCAGUCACACUGGAACUGAGACACGGUCCAGACUCCUACGGGAGGCAGCAGUGGGGAAUAUUGGACGAUGGGCGAAAGCCUGAUCCAGCCAUGCCGCGUGUGUGAAGAAGGGCUUCGGAGUGUAAAGCACUUUAAGUGGGGAGGAAGGGCAGUAAGUUAAUACCUGGCUGUUUUGACGUUACCAACAGAAUAAGCACCGGCUAACUACGUG
Molecule: ribosomal RNA, 484 nt
Filed under: uncultured bacterium
Lineage: Bacteria
Description: partial 16S ribosomal RNA
Rfam family: Bacterial small subunit ribosomal RNA
Source: RNAcentral